GCGAGCAUAGAACUAAUGAAGCGUCAGUACCUUUAUUAGUAUUUACUCAAGUUAAUGAAUUUCAGUGGAUAUGUUCUUAGAAAGCCAUUAUUUUGUUUCUCGCUUAAGUUCAUGAUGCCCAGUAAAAAACGAUUACGCUCACACACUCAUCUAGUAGCAAAAUUACAUUCAGUGGACAAAUUCACUAGCCCGGGACGCUACGAAAAGCAGAUUAUGUCUAAGUAUGUACUGUACGAGUUUUUACUCAUACAGUCCAGCAGGCUGCUGUUAAAGCUCUCAGCAGCAUUGCUUUUCUUCUCUUGUCUAAAAUCCAAGUAAAGAAAACUCCUUACUCCCUAUAUUUGCAAAAGUAAGUUUUUUGUUUAAUAUAUGCAUAUGUUUAAACAUUCUAUCCUCUAGUAAAUUACUGUAUUCCCUAGUGGUGUAAAACAAUUUAACGCUGUCACUGUAGCACAAUACUUGUUCCUAGUUAUAACAACAGACAUUAACCGACACACACUCUGACUGUUUGUAGACAUUUUUAAUUGACUAAUGAAUUAAGUGGAAUGUGAUUUUUUCCAGAAUCAGGAACAUACUGUAAUGCGAAAACACUAAUGAAACUGAGCAAGAUGCAGUAUAUAGUGCAAUGCAAAGCUUCAUGUAACUUUACUCAGACAGUAGUUCCGGCUGUAACAUAAAAGAUAGGUUUAUAUUAAUGUGCUCGUUGUAAUACAUUCUACAGAGUAACCCAAAAAUCUUCAUACAUAAGGGACUAUGUAUGCCAGCUACGGUUGUGCUUCGUCAGUGGAUGUUCAUGGACUUCCACUUCUCGGCUGGUCUGUGACACUUCCAGUCUUUUUGAAUUUGUUAAUAAGUUUAGCAACAGUGUCGUGCGUGAUGUUAUUGCCAUAUUUCCUGUUAAAGUCCAUCACAACCUUGUGACAGCUUCCCAAUCCAGCCAUGAGAAUGAUUUCAAUACGUUCUUCUUUUGUCAAAGGCAUUCUUAAAGGCUAUCUGAAAAACAUAUAAACUAGGUAUGCAAAAUUUUGGAAGACAUUUUGCUAAGAAGUGUUCAUUUCCACUUAUGUAUGGAGACUACUGGGACACCCCGUAGUUUCUAUAGUAACUCAUGCACAGGGACUUGCAUGGCAGACGCAUAAUCUAUGACUAAUAAUUAACAGAUUAAAAAAUGUGUUGUUUAACAAGUGGAAAUAUAUAAUCAUAUGGUGUUAACACAGUAUCUUAGUACACUUAGGUGGUCAAAUUUUGUUAUUUUUUUAAUGGAAGGAGAAAUCUGAUCUGAGACUGUUGUGUGUUAUUCCUUACAUAACUUUCACUUUUUAGCCUAGUUAAAAGAGAACUCCACCCUGAAACACAUUACGUACAGUAUGUUUAUACUGUAAUAUUUGUGAGGUGCUUAGGAAUUGCCAUCCUAACCUGUUGGUUUGUGUUGUAUUUUCAUUAUUCUUGUGAGAAGUUAGCAUUUGUGUAUGACUCUGGCAUCAUAGAAAUACAUUGCUGGUACAGUUACAGUGGUGUUGCAAGCAAUAGAAGAAAAGUUUUCUUGUUAGCUCCUAAAAAUAAAAUAGCAAGAGUGUAUUUUCACACUCACCAUUUUCCAGAGAUGUGUAAUGUCAUUGUAAUAAGAAACCCAACAAGUAGUGGAAAGAGCAAACAGCAGUUGGACUCUAAGUUCUAGACAGAGCUAUAUGACAGAUUUACAAAAUGACAAGCACAGUGCAGUUGACGGUGGUAUUAGCAUGAAAGCUGAAACUUUGGAACGAUAUCUGUUUGAACAGAGUGUAACAAUGAGGAGGUGCGAGAGCUGCUAAAAGCGCUGCUGCACCUUUAGCAAAAGUUGUCGAUGAUGUCAUGGUGGAAUUUUUCUUUCAGUACUUUUCCUGAAGACAAAAAUAAAAGAUUGGACAUUAUAAUGUUCACUUGCCAGAGGGCUAGCAAAUAUAUGAGUUGUUCACCCCUUACAUUACAGAAGUCUUUGACCCCUAUAAUCAAUAAAUAUUACUUGUAUGCACUAAUACCCACGGUUUUAUCCAGGACCUUCUAUAAAAAAUAGUUUUAUUUGCGCACAAACUGCAUGUGUUUUAUUAACCUCUCAGAUCGGUGCACUUUGCAAGAGCAUAUGGAGUAAUAAUUCCCAUACACUGUUCUGGUCAACUUGCAUAUUUUUUUGUGACUUUAAAAACUUGUAGCACUCUCUUUGCCCUCAGAUAUCUAGCAGAUAAUGCUAUAUGAAUGGGAAUAAUGAAUGCAUUAGUAAACUUAAUGGCUGACAUAUGAUAUAUCAGCUAAAUGCACUGAAAGCACAGCAUGCCAAACACUAACUAUGUGAGAACUAUGUGAAGCAGUAUAGCUCACACUGACAUUGUCUCACUGAGAAAGCUCUUCCAGGAAAUGAUGCACCUUGUCUACAUUAAUGCUCUCAUCUGCUAUCUCUUGAUACCCCCCUCAACACACACACGCACACACACGCACAGUGGGAACAUCUGUGUGAGUGCAGCUUUCAUUCUUCAGCUCUACACCAUCUCACCUCAGAUCAAUAACGAGUCCAUCUCAUCCCACUGCUCUACUACUACCAUCUCCACCUCUCCCUUUACUUCCUGAGAUGUAUUAGUGUGGCUAAUUGUAGUCAGAUUGCUUCUACAGUCUACUUAGUUUAUUCUAUUCGGCACUCCUUUUUUUGUAAUAAUGUCCCUGAUCUGUACACUCAUGCACAUGUUUUUACGUCAUAAAUACAGGUAAUAUUCUUUCACAUACUAUACAUACUAUAUAGUUAACAUAAAGUGCAUGCAUUUAGUUCAGUAUGUGAACAAUUUCAUUAAAUUUAACUGGGCUGCACAAGAAAAUGUGUUUAAAUUACUAAAUAAAAGAGAGCUUGGGUAUUACAGCUGGAUAAAUUGGAAAAGGAAAUGAUGAACCAGUACAUGGAACAUAGACAGUGGUGCUCAAAAGUAAAUUAAACAAAUUAACUACAAUAAAUUCUAGACACCUUAUGGGAUGGAAAACAAAUAUAUCUGAAAGAGAUGUGAGUGACUGUAUGUGUGUGUGUGUGUGUGUGUGUGUGUGUGUGUGUGUGUGUGUGUGUGUGUGGGUGAAUUACAGUAACUGAUUCUGUGUAAAAUUGGUAUAAAUUAGUAAAAUGCUCAAAAGGGAUUAUUUUGUAAUGUGUAUCAACAGAUAAGACAACUAGUAUCUGUGUCCUUGAGCAAACAAAUAACUGCUCCAGCAAAGUCGUAGUCAUUCAGAAACAGCUUUAUCAGGUAGAGCAUGUUAUCUGACUCGAAGUUUCCCAAAAUAUUUGUCUGUUACUAAUUGAAGAUAAAUAUUGUGCACAUGGAAGCCAAGACCAGAGUUUCCAUUCCUGACUGAAUUCUAAAAUGAGUCAAAUAAAAAAAAAAAUCAUAAACAUGAGCCUUACAGUUAAUGCUAUUAAGUAAGGAAUAAAAUAUGAAGUUAUAAGAAAAUAAUCAACGACGAAAGGAUGUCAAGCCGUUACCACCCUGAAGUGUCGAAAAAUCUUCUAUUGCUCUUAUACCGGAGUAAUUUGUCUCUGUUUUAAAUUUAGUAAAAAACUAAUUGUCAUACUUUUUAUCCAUUUAUAGUUACAGUUAAUGUUGUGGAACAUAAACAAAAUACAGUAAGUUAGUUCCUCUUACACUAUGAUUAUAUGUCAUCCGCCUGCUUUCUCUUGAAGUUAAUAAGACAGAAAAACUGUAGAGUAAUUCUAGUAAAAAACUUAAAGUUAUCUGACUGUUACAAAGUGCUGACACUGGAGACUCCUUCGAAAAAUGCUUUGCCAUAUGUAUGAUUAUACUUUUUUUGUUAAAUAACAACACAUUAAAAAUAUUCUUUGAACUCCAUGUGAAAUAUAUACUUUAGCCAGAAUAUGUUAGUGUUGCUUUCCACUGUACAGUAAGUCUGACCAUUACAUUUUGUUUUAAGUCCAUCAGCCAAAAGAUCAGAAGCUCAAAUUCAACUUAAUGUUUUCUGUGGUGCAGUGUGUAGAGCAUUAAUUAUCCAAUUCCAAUGUAAUGGGUUUGGUUCCUACAUUCUGAUAAACCUGCAUGGCUUGGAGAUAUGGGCACCUUUUGAAGCCCAAGUAAGCUGAAUGAUCCUUCUAAAUUAAUUAGACAUUUUGAAUAAUGGCCAUUGAUAAUGUCUGCAAUAUCUCAUGAACACUAAGAUGCUGGGACCCCAAUGAUCACCACUGAACCAAAUUAAUUACAAAUUCCAUAUACUGUACAGAAUACAAAUGGGUUAUGAUUGUAAUUUUUAGAUUCAUGUUUUUCAUGUGUCCUUUAUUCUCAUCCCAACAUGUCAGAGUUACAGAUAAAUAGACACUUUGCCCAUUUUCCUCGCUAAACUAGCUCAGAGAUAGACAUUUCAAAAUAACUCAUACUCUCAACGUUUAUUGAGAUUCUGAGGCUGGCAGGAUGACUGCAUGUCUAGGCACAUCUAAAACUCACAUUUGCUCACUGCUCACAGUCACUAAGGGCUGAGAUGCAAACACUCAAAAUGGUGUGAGUCUUGUGGAAAUUUAAAAGGCACUGCCCUCUACUUCCACCUUAAGUGUUUCCAAGUGCAUUGUGUACUGAGUCUGUAUUAAAAAGGGAUGGGAGUGUGCAAAUCAUUUCCAAAGUGAUCUCUUGAACUACUAGAUGAGACAUGAUAGAUCCAAAAAAAAAAGAAAAAAAAACACACCAAGUAUUUACAAGGAUCCUUCUGCAAAAAUUGAAAAAGAAGGGGAUGGAGAGAAAAAGACCUGAAAGGAAUACUUCGGAGAAAUCUCUUUAAACUACAAUCAAAGCACAAGAGAAACAGCAUUUGUACUGACAGGUGAAUAAUAAUAAGUCAAUUAUAGAAAGAGUGAUAAACAAAAUGGACGUUUACCUCAACUCAGUAAUACUCAGCACGAAAUGAACCCAAAUGUGAGCAUUUUAAAGGAGUAGUUCACAUAAUUCUUUAAAACAAUGUAACCAAAAUUAUAAGAACAGAGAGGUACAUGAAAGAUCCAUUCAUUUAUUCACUUCUAUAGACUUGAAUAGAUUUAGGCUUAAUUUAAAAAGAGGCAUCUGCUCCUAAUCUCAGAUGCCCAAUCCCACGUUUUCCAAUUUGCUAAAAUAUGCCAAUCACAUGAACUUUAGAGUGCCAAGAAGGGAAAGGCACAAGAAGGAGAGUUUGAACAAAAUAAACCUGCCGUCAUAUUGUUUCAGGGAGAGAGUGAGUGGUUUACAGCGCUGUCAUAUCUCCACCUGAGAGCCAUUUGUCAAACUCCUGGAAGGGAAGGAAAGGUGUGGGGCCGCCUCUCAGACUGACAGCUGAGCCAUUAUGCGCCACAAUGCACACAAUGCUCAGAACAGGGAGAAAUUACAUAUAACCAAGCAUUUAAAUAUUCCAUCUCAACACAGUGAAACAAGAGAAAUUAAAUUAAACAGGGUAAAAUUAUUCAGUGCAAUGACAAGGCCUUGGAGAGCCCCAGGCUAGGGAGGGGUGGGGUGAGUGUGAGAGAGAAAUGGGUUCGGUGUGGCACUACUAGUGCUAAGUACCUAGAUCACAAACACAACAAAGUCUUUUUAACCUGGGACCACAUUAAUCCACACUGGUGACAGUGCUAUGGCUCCUUACUGGUGUUGUGCCCCUAAGCACUCAUUUAAGCCCAUAGAUUACUUGUAGUAAAGGUUAUAAAAUACACACUUGUGUGCGUAUGCACACACACACACACACACACACAGAAAUUGUGAGGACCUUCCAUUCACAUAAUUAUCAACAUGCAGCUAAUUAAUGCUUACCUACAUCUAAAUCUAACCAUAACCUCAAUCUUAUUAACCAAAGACAACCUUUUUGCUUUUGUAGGUUUUAAAAUAAAAGCUGCUAAUUUUGUAGGGAAAAAAAGCAUUUUUCCUGGCAUAUAUUCCUUUUCCUAUCUCAGCAUUUGGUCCCCACAAGGAUAUAAAAACACAAUACACAGUUACAGAUAAAUCCAUAUUCUCUAGCAAAACACAUUAGUAUGAAGAUUUUCAAGGUUUAGUCGCUCUGAAUCUUUUUCUCUAUAUAUAUUUUUCCCAUACUUUCUCUCAGGAUUUACAACAUUCAAUUUCACUGGAAUGGCACUUACUUGAAAGAUUCUUCCAAGGGGUGCAUUUUUUUGGUCAAAUGAUAGUCCUUCAUUGUUGGCCAUGGCACAAAACCCUAUAUUUCAUUCCACCAUUCUCAGUACAAUUGGCUGCAAAAUUCUAAAGCUAACAAUGGUAAAGAAAAUUUCUUUUUUUUUUUUUUUUGCCCUGUGUUGUUCCUUUUUGAUAUAUCAUCGACCAGCCUAUUUGCCAAAAGGAUUCCUUCUUCUAACAGUGAACAAACAGAACACAGUUAAAACUGCUUCAUGGUGAAGAAAGACAUCACAGAGUGUCAGGGAGCACCUCUGCAAAAGUUACUCUCAUUUUCAAGAAAAUCUAUUGAUCUUAAAGUGAAUGUAAUGCAACAUGCUGAGCUUGAAUUACUGUGGUGUUAUCUGGAGUCAGAGGUGACAGGAAUAACAGCAUGCAGGUGAAAAAGAAAUCAGUUGUGCAAUUUUUGAAAGCAUGUAAAGUGUGUAAAGCUGUCAGAAAUGUACGGUGAAUUUCUGUAACAUAACAGACACCAUAAACUGAAUCAUAAGAACAUAACAUCAUGAAGGAUAUUAAAAAAAACAGUUUUGAGUGCUGUGCAAUUUCUGGAAGCAUGUACACCAUGUAAAUUUGUCAGAAAAACAAGGUGAACUUGUAUAGAGCCUAUAGACUGAAUCAUAUGGACAUGAACUUAUAAAGAUGACCUUCUGACUUUUAAUUACAUUCCAGUUUAAAGCAUCUAAUCCACUUCAUCAGUGUGGAAACACAACGAUGAAGAAUCUUGCCAAUUCGUCAUCUGCUGUAACUUUCUCAUGCUACGCAAUGAAAGUAGCGCUAUAGCUAUCUGUGUGCAUAUGAAAAUGGAUUAGCCACAAGACUGCAGUGUUAAACCAGAGAAUGAGUGCCCCUGGAUCUACCUCACUAAUAUGUUUCAAUAUGAUGGAUUAAGCAAAGACUCAUAUAAAUUUCACUAAUUUCCUAACGUUAUAUAUGCUACCUGGCUAUAUUUAAAUAAGUUAGCCUGUUUUCUUUGCUAAUGCCAUGUUAUACUAGCAUCGAGUCCAGUAGGUCAUGUAUUUGGCUUAGCAGCAAGUCAAAUUCUAGCAGUAAAUAUUGGUUAUUUUACAAAAUAUUUUAGUUUUGGCUAAUUCAUUAGCAAGCUACAUAGCAUUUUUGAUUGAAUGUUGCUUAUAUCCUUUUUACUUUUUAAUACUGGAGUAUAUUUAAAAGUAGCAACUUGAGUACAUGUUUGGCUAGAUCCUUCCACUUUUAACUGAGUAAGAUUUUAACUUUAUUGUCUAUAUUAUGACUUAAGUAUAAUUUCUCUGUACUUUUUUCUGUUGGGGACAAUUCAGUGGAAUUUCAGACACAAUGUCAAAACAGUUUCUUAACUUAAUGUAAAGGCUUAGAAGUAUGGUGUCAUUUCUUCCAACCCAGUUUGUUGAAGGUCACUAUUUAUGUCAACUACAGGCAGUUAAUAACAUAAAGAGACUAAUUUGCCAAACUACUACAUGAAUACAACUGUUCAAUCCAUUCAAAAGUAAGGCCUAUUUACCAGUCCUAGCAUACGAGGCAGAAUUUGUGCAAAUCGUUUUGCCCUUUCUCGUAUAAAGUUGCCAAUAAUUUUGGAGUGCAGAAUGUAGAUAAAAGCCUAAAAGAUAUCAACUUUUCACAAGAUUUCAGAAUGGAUAUCGCUCCUAGUUUACACUGUGUUUUGCUCAGUUAAAUGAAGUAAAGUCUAUAUGUCAAGUGAGAUUCUCGUAAAUUCUUAAACGCAGUCUUACAGUGAGCAAAACAUGUGGCUAGAAGGUACAAAGCAUGUGUCUUUUUAUACUUCAGCUGGGGAUUCACGUCUAUAAAAUCUUAUGAUGUAACACACUGAGAAAGCAGUGCAAUGAACAUAUACUGUCCAAAAGUAUUAGACUGUAUCAAACAUCCAUUCAACACAGACUUCCCUUCAUCCCGAAAUGAUUCCCAGCACACUACAGCAUAUCACAGUUCAGUCUAUCAGCACUCCCAUCACUGUCAGUCAAAAAGGAUGCCCCAGGGAGGCAGUAAGCCAACACUCAUGCCAUGUUCCAAAUCGGCUGUAUCCCCAGAUCAGUGUGAAUUAGCAAAUGCCAGGCUCAGAGACACGAAGCCCCAGCACUAACACUAACGCCAAAACCAUCAGCAGCAGCAGAUGGACCACAGCGCCACGCAGUUAGGGCAGAAAUGGAGCCGCAGCUGCUAAAAGACAAAAUGAAUCUUUGUCCAUAUGCGCUACUUUGGCUUCUGUGUUUUGUUGCUCAGUGAGCCAACUAAAAAAUACUCGGAUUAAGAAACACCAGUAAAACUUUUGAUGGUACUUGUUUAUGUACCACUACAGAAUAAUAAGAAACUGGGUAUUUUUUAUUAUAAUUUAUGAAAAAAUGCUGGCAUGACAGCUGUUUCAACACAUUAUAAUUGACUUGAGUCAUCAGUAUAUUUUUUUAACAUCUCAUUUCAUUGUGUUGUGUUGCUUUAUACUGUAACCAGAAGUGGAAAGUACUUAAGUAAUUGUGCUUCAUUACUGGGAUUUGUGCUUUACCUCAGUAUGCUAAAAGUUCAAUCUUGUACUCUUAAUUAUAUUUCCAUUUAAGAAAAUUAGAAAAAAGCAAUAACUCUGUACUUUUUAUGAGUUUGACUGCUUAUAGUACAUUUUAUCUAUACCUUUACACUACUUGUAAAUCACAUUUUGUCCUUUUGCCAAGCUACAAAUACAGUCUGUGCAUUUUAACUUGAUUUACUUACUAGAUUUAAGCCAUCCAAUUAAAUCCAUAGCCUUCCAAAUUGUAUAGAUACCACAACCAGUCAUUUUUACAUGAAGCCUACAUGUUUAAUUUUUAUGUUUCACUCAAGUAUAAUUUUGACAAGCUGCCACCAACAUUUUGAUAUACUUUCACUUAAGUAAUUUCUCCACCCCUGCUAAUGAUAAUACUUUUUGGGUUUUGUACUUUUUCCACCACGCCAGUGAUAAUAAGUAAAUAAAGUAUGACACGCGAGCUGCAACAGCUGCAUGCUUACUAAAACUACCUCCACUUCUUAACAAGAACAGCUGUACCAGUGAGGCAGACAAAUAGGCAGAGUUUGAGAAACAGAAGUGAUGACUAAAAUGUGCAUCUCUGUCUCAUUAGUUCAAGACUGAAAGACCCUGGAGGCUGCCAGAGCUGCUGAGGUAGGAUCCUGAUAAAGCAGAAGAAGAGGCAGGAGUAGUGUGCAGUAGAGGAGAAUGAAGGAGCCUUGUUGUGCCAUGCUAUGCCAAGCCGAGCUAACUGACAGGAGAGACAGGAGAGAGUGCUGAAGCCCCAGAUGUAAUGCACUUUUCAAUUAACCUUAAUUGAAUCACUCUCCACCACUGAAAGCUUUGUUUACCAAUGGGCAGCCAGGAAAUGGCCCACCAAUCCCACCUGCUGUGGAGUGCAGAAAAUAAGCACAACAACAAGCUGUGUGGCAAGGCACUGUGGGAAAUCUGGUAGGGGAGUGAUCAUUAAAACUGUGGAAAGAUGGAAGACAGUACACAUGGUUGCUGAGACAAAGAUUUUUAAACUUCUGGCUCUAUCACACAGACAGCAAAUGUGUCCAGCAUCUGUGUGUUUAUCAGCUCCUGCAGACAAAUGCUUAAAACACACCUAGGUGACAAGCUUCCACAUGACAGCCUACUUAAAAGGGUGUCUGCUUUUUAAUCUUCUAUCUCCCAGGGAUGUUUAAUCUCUAGUACAUCAUUAAGUGUGUCCAUCAAAAGACAGUGGUGGCCAAGUGAAAUCUCACAUGGCUGUCAAUUUGACAAAACUUCAUCUGGAGCUUUUCCUCUGUUGAGCUUCAAAUGUACUAUUUAUUGUGCUCCAUGCUUUGCUUCUCAAGGGGCAAACUGAGCAUUUUCAAAAGAAAUAAAAAGUUAUUAAUUGUGCAUGUAUAAACUGAUUUGAUUGUUUAUUGGGCACUGUACCUAAUAAAAUGACAACACAGAUAAACCAAUGUACACACUAAGUUUAUUAGGGAUACUGACUAGGAACUAGUCAAAUCAUGCUGUAACUAUAACAUGCUACUGGUCCUAGGCAGUUUCCAUGAAUAUGUCCUUUUUUAGAAGCCAUACAUGACUGUUAUUAUUUAUGCUUUUUUUUUCCUUAAUGAGCAGGAGUCAGGAUUCUGUGGCAUAAUUGCAUAAGUGCAGUGGUUGGGGGUUAUGAGGGGGCAAGGGGGGGCCAGUCAACAAGCUGACAACAAGCUUGGCCCCUGCUGUGGCCCCUGUAAAUGAGGAGUAAGUCAACUCUGAACUAAUUAUUAUAGCCUGACCACUUUUGAACAGAAUCCUCAAGUGGCAUGUCAGAGUAAAAAUACACUUUUCUAGUCAGACAGUUAAAGGCGAUGGACCGAGUUUCUCUAAGAAGAAAAGCAUUUUCCCUACUGAGCGAGUCUGACUGAAAGUAUAUAAUGGAAAAAGCAAAGAAGAAAUAAAAUGUUUUGUCUUGCCUGUCUAUCUAAGCAUGCUACUAUAGUUGUAUAAUUCCAACAGUCAUGUAUGCUAGCAUUAUUGAGAAUGUGUUACAUUACAAAGUGUAUACAUAGCUAGCUAACACAGAAAACUCAUCGUGGAUGUGGUAUGACCCUUGUUUUUUGCUCUAUAGUUCUCUCUAAAAUGAAGAUGAAAUGUGAUAUAUUGUACUUCUCCCAAAAAAAGAAAGACAAUUAUUCAGAAUGUCAUUCAGGUGGGGAGAGAGCCAAGGCGACGGGUCAGAAUUAGCAGGAAGAACAGGAAGAAUGGUCAGCUGGGGAGCCUGGUUCAGACAGCGAGGACACAGUAGAGCAGGCAGAGACAGAUUGAGAUCCUGGGAGUGAGAAUGAGGGUCAGGAAGAAGCUGAGUAUGAGACAGACAGAAGACCCAUUUGCUUCCACCAGCACAGCACCAUCAGGCUUGUGAUGUUGGACAGCUCUGUUAGUCAGUUUACCUGGCGUGUAUAGAAAUGUUUACAUUAGGUUUGUGAUUGAAGGUAAUGGAAACCUCCAUGUGAUAUUUUGAUAUAUCAAUAUGUAAGAUUGAUAUUUUACUAUAGUAUCAUUUUGCUAUAGAACAUUGUUAUGGUGUUACUAAAUGAUUUUGUAAAUGUUUUUUUUUUUUUUUUUACUCCAUAUAUUGUGGUAGAAAGUAACUGGCCCUCUUGUGGAGCCACUGUGUUGAGGCACUUGAGUAGCAAAGUAGUUUGUCAUAGUAUUGAGUUAAAAUCUGUUAGUUAACACCUUUGUUCUAGUUAACUAUAUUUCUGGGCAACCAAAACAUAAGACCAGGUAAGUGUAUUUACAUCAGUAUAUUUACAGACACCCUUAUCCAGAACAACUUACAUUUAUCUCAUUUAUACAACUGAGCAGUUGAGGGUUAAAGGCCUUGCUCAAGGGCUCAGCAGUGGUAGCUUGGCAAUGAUGCAAUUUGAACUCACAACAUUCUGAUCAGAAAGCCAGUGUCUUACCCACUGAGCUACCACUGCCCUAACAUACUGGAGCUUUCACAUGCCUAGCCGCCUAAUAAAUGAAUUUAUGAUUUGUCCACCCCUAAUUAUUGCUACUUCAUGUACAUGUAUAUAUGUGUAUACCAUUUCUCUUGCUAACUUAUACUAGCUUUGAUCAGAAUUACAGCACUGAACUUGCCAUAUUCAAUGUAUGUAAGUACCUGUAAUUCCUGUGGGUCUUUCUUCCAAAAAAGAGGUGAAAAAAGAAUUAUCGAAGACAAAAUGUUUUCCUUAGUAAAAUCCAUCCAAGAGUAUUGGUUUUGUUAUAAAAAUGUAUUUUUAUACAUAGAGUGAGUAAAGGAAAUUCUCUAAUGACGAGCAAUGAAUAAAGCUUUAUCGAUUGCAACUAAUGCACUGAUAUUAACUGUGCAUUAAAUCUAAUGGUUGUAGAUGGUUGUCUACUUCAACACACACACAUAGACACACAUAUACACAUAGACACACACACACAGACACACACACACACACAUUUGUCUCAUUAUCCCUGUGAGGACCUUUCACUGACAUAAUGAUUAUUAAUGCUAUGCUUACACUUAAACCUAACCACAGUAGCAGAGAAGAAAAAAAACAUAUGAAUAAUAAACAUAAACAAAUAAAAGUUUACUUUCCCAUUGCAAAGCGGCACCCAGAAGAAAAUAUAUACACAGAAGUGAGGACAGCCCACAUCAAACUGCACUCUUGCAAAGAUCCUGAAGCUUCUGGCCAGAAAAGUGUAUGAAAGAUGCAGCUGGAGGUUGAUGAGACUUCAGACAGAUGGUGUAGGUAACUUCCUCACAGCUGAGUGUGCAUCAUGGUGUGAUGAUUCAGAGCAUCAUCAGCCAUGCAGAGUGUCAAGCUAUUGUCCCAGCAUGGCACAGCUACCACUGUUCCCAGCCAAGCACUGAGGGCAACAGACUGGAACGAGGGCAACAUCAGAGUGACGGAGAACAAUCUGCAACACAAGCUCCACACACUGACACUUGUUAAUACUAAAAACACACACACACACAAACUAGAGAGACUGGAGCUGUGAAGUGACAAUGCUAGUUCCUACACCUUCCUUUAUGAAUAAAGUGGGUAUUAAUUAAAAAUUAAUAUUAAUUUCAUCUUGGGUGGUAUGUUUCGCUGUGCCAUGAGGUUUGCAGAACACUGCUGCCACAGAAAUGCUGCACAGGUCUCUCUCUACUCUCUAUACUUGGCUCAAGGUCACACACCUGGGCCUGCUUUGAGCAAACAGCAAGCAGUGUAAGUGGAAAGGCCAUUUUAGAAGGGGAGAGAGCAAAAUGAAUUGUAAAUUAUGAAUGGGCUUCAAUCUGUCUGGAGUAGCCGCAAUAACUAUUCUGAUACCAACAUAUUCCAAAAUCUGGGAUGUUGAGACUGACUGGUAAAUAUAGGAAUAAGAAUGCAGCCACACACACACACACACACACACACACACACACACACGGACACACACCUGGCAACUGUCAAAGGCAAUCAUAGGUAUGACAGGUUUACUCCACCCAGCUUCAUGAACUCAUUAACCCAUCCUUCAUUUCUUUCACUAAUUAAAGAGAAGCAAACCUGCAGCAGUCACAACACAGAUGGGAUGAUUCAGUGUCUUAGAGGUAAGGUUGAGAGGCACUCAGACAGACAGACAGACAGAUAGAGAGAGAGAGACAGAGAAGGAGAUAUGUCACAUUCAUUACAAUGCUGUUCCUUAGUUUAUGCCUGCAAUACGUUGAAGCCAUUCUCAUUAAUGGUAGCCUGGCAUGAAGUCAAAAACAAAGAAGAUUGAUAUUUGUUUCCAAUAUCCCAUGUAAGGAAAUUAAUUCUGCGUUAAUUAGAUCUCCCCAUUAAAAACAGGUUGGUUUGUCUCAACGAGAAAUUCUCAUUUUGAAGAAGCAAGAGGAGAUGGUGGUGUCACACUCUUUGUCAGAGGAAGACAGCGGUGCCCUGAGGCAACUGAUCGAUGUCCAGAGAGCUGAGACUGCAGACGGGGAUCUGACGAGAAUCCCAUCACCAGAGCCAGCCUAGUCACCAAUCUGCUCAUCACAACUACUGCAAGCACCAAACUUAGAAGAGAAACAUGAGUGAAAAGCAAGACAUCACAUCAGCUGGCUUUUCCUCGGGCACUGGAGAAGCAGAGGGCUGAAUAUGAAGUAUAUGAACCUUCCAUUCACUAUGAUUUAUGGUGUAUGUAGCACAUAAAAGCAGUGCAAGCUGUGCACUUUUGAUAAAAGAGGUUAAAUGGCAGGGGAUUUUUUUAUUAUUAUUAUUCAUUUAUAUAAGCUUGCGAAUGCACAGAGUCCGGAAGAGGAAAAUAUUAAAAGAUUCAGUAUGGAGAUGUGAGAACUUAGAUGUGUCCUUGUAGAGCUGCUCUUCUUUCAGCCAGGCUGCUACAUAGCCUUCCCAUUGUACCUAUUGUCUGUGAUCUAUCAAAGAGCAGAGACUUGAGUGCAAUCUCACAGCCCACUUUAGGUUCCUUCCACACUACAAGACAACAAGGAUCCUGUGUGUGUGUGUGUGUUUGUGUGUCUGUGUGUCUGCGUUUCCCACGGAAGGACAAGCCAAAGAAAUCUUUAAGGAAUCUAGAUUGUUCUUUUUUUCUAAAAGUGUACACAAACAUUUACACAUAAACCUUUAUGAGCAUAACCUUGGUACACACACAGGUACACUCUCAAAAAGUGUGCAAGAGUUUUUUUAUAUAGUUAAGCCAAAGAAUCCUUAAGUGUUCUGAAUAGAAGUACAAAAUCGCAGAAUUAUGAUUUGUCAGCAUUGUAUGAAAAAUCUUCCAAUUCCAAGGUAUUGAUGUAAAAAAUACACUUGUGUUUUCUAAGUAUAACAAUUUCCAAGUAGAACACGUUUGGAAAGCUAAGAAUCUUUAUUUCAAACCCUUACAGAACAAUUAAACAACCAUUAAUGAACUCUUUUUCUAAGAGUGUAUUUUUUGGUCAGAAACCAAUUUGGCGCCACCCACAACAUGCACUUUACCACCCCUUCGCCCAGAGGUCCUGCAGGAGAUACUGGUUUGGCACACUUUGGCAUUGUCUGGCACUAUUUAGCACUGUUUAGCACUGUUUGGCACUGUUUGGCACUGCCCUUAAUUGCAGCAAAGCCUUGCUCUAAUAAGAUCUUGACAGGGUUUCAGAUCAAACAACACUCUCUAUAAAACCUUCACACUGGCUCUGUAAAAUGACACGUGAUUGAUGGACAUGUUCCUCAUGCAUGCCCUUCGUACUGAUGUUAAAAUCCCAGCUGUACCCGAGGGUGCCAGUCUGGCAUUCUGAUAGCUAUAAAACUGCCAGAUAAGCUAAUUAGGUAGCACACAACAAUGCAUAUUUAUUCAUAGGUUCAUUUUUCUUUGCUUUUUACAUCACUUUUUGAACGCAUAAAUGCAAAAAGGCAUGCUUUAUAAAUGAUAUGACGUAAAUGAUCUGUUAACCUUGUCAGGCUUGUCUUAACUGCAGAGGCAAUGAGCUAUACAUAUAACAAAUGAAGCAGCAUCAGCAAUGUUUUGGCCUUGUCUGUAUUCUUAUGAAAAUUAUUAAUGUGUUGCUUUCAAUAAUCUGUUAGCAGUGACUAGGUGUAGAUGGCCGAAGCUCAGUCGAGUGUGCUGAGUGGAAGUCAUUGAGUCCUAGAUAUCCUCUGUGCUUUGUCCUUAUCUCAGGAAUAUCAGGAGCUUUUCAUUUAGACCAAUUCUCUGAUUUAAAAAAAAGAGCUCAAAGGUAAUUAAACAUGCAAACGAAUAAUCAUGAACUUGUUAAUGCAGCUGUUAAAUGACAACAGAAAUGUUAGGUAGAAUAGUGUCUCUGGGUUAAACGCUUGACAGUUGCACAAUGAAGGACUUAAAUGUGAGAAGAUAAUUUUGGUGAAUGUGAGGAUGUGAUUAUUGCUUUCAAGUCUCAAAAUCUGACAUACAUACACAUAAAAUAAGGGAAUAUAAAAUCUUCAGAAAAAUAAUUCAUGCAGAUUAGGCAUAUAGUGUGCUGCUUAUUAAUCGUCACACCAGAGAGCUGCUCGAGAAGUAAAGCUGUUGUACAGAAGCGCAGAAGCACAAAAGACUGUUAUGGCUCUAAUUCAAAGGGGAAAAAUAUAUACAUUUCUAGGGCCGCCUAAAAUAUUUCAAAAUAAAAAUUCUUUAUGUACCUUUUUGUUGGAAGUAUUGCUUGAAAAUUGAAAGUAAACCUACCAGAAUUUAGCUGAUGAUGAAGAUAUGAGUCCUUGUUCUUUCUUGUAGUGAUACUCUUUUCUCUCUCUCUAAAUUUCACUCCCAUUCUCAUUCUUUUUCUCACACCAAAGCAGUACUAACUCCCAUACAAGGCACCUACACAACUGAACACAAUUUCAAAGAAUGAUAAAAUGGAAUAAACAGAUUGAAUAUUUUAAAUAAAACCCCAGUAUUACAAUGCAUGACGUCAGCCUAGUGAAAAAGCUUAUAAACCUCUUGUCAGCCACAACCCUUUGUAUUUGUAUUUGUGACUGCUUUGCAUUCAUGUGUUCAAAACAGAGUAGAUGCAUGAUGAGUGUGUUUCUAAGAAACCGAAUAUGUUUUCUGUGAUAUGAAAAGGUUUGCUUGCUCAAGAUAUUCAUCAGUCAUAAACUGAAUUGAGCAAAAUUUCCAUUCUAUAUGCUGUUAAACAUGAUGAACUGAAACAGCUGCAAUAAUGCCAGGUGUAACGGUAUUAGUGUCACUGGGUGAUGACUGUUCUAACAUUUUUACAUGUCUCCUCCAUGAUAACACUGUCACUUCUGGACAACGAAUAAAUUAGCCUGGGAUGAUUGUGUUUCUAGGGUUUUUUUCCCCUUUGAACACUGACGUUUGUGCCUCACAUGGUCCUCUUCUUUUAUUUUAUAUGCAUUAGCAGUUUACAGAGAACAUUAUUGGAGGGUAGAAUGUUAGUGCGGAGAGUAGCAUUGCCACAUCUCCAGGGUCCCUGGUUCAAUCCUGAGUUUGGGUUACUAUCUGUAUGGUGUUUCACGUUCUCCCUGUGUUCGUGUGGGUUUCCUGCCAAAAACAUUCCAGUAGGAAGAUAUACGAAUGAAUGGACAUUAUUGGGUCAUUUACCACUAUAUUUAUUUGGCAACAUCAAAUGUUAGAUGAUUAAGAAACUUACAGUGAUACGACUGCUCAUUCUUUACUUCCAGAAAUGUAUUGUGACAUAUAUAAAUUUAUGAAUAUAAUGUAAAGCUUAACAUAUAGUAUAAAGUAUAAAGCUUUAUACCUGUAAUUGUCAUUACAAUAGCACCUUUUAUUACCCUACAGAAUCAUACUUUUCCAUCAAAAUCAGAAAAUCCAUGCUAGAUGACUAAUUAUGACACAGAAAGAGAUAGAGUCUGCAAAACCACAGAGGUUUCUAUCCAGACAGGACUAAAAUGAUCAAACUACUGCAGAGUUGCUCAAAAAAAACAGUAGAUAAUUUGGUUUGUAAUUUUCUCACGGAGAAUGGACAGAAACAAAAUCACAGAGCACCUGCAAAUGAUGGAAUUACCCAAGAACCCCAAGUAUAUUUAAUAAUGUCCAAAUAGGGCUAUUUUCACACAUUUCCCAUAAGAUGCAGAAAUAGUGAUACUAUAUUUUCCUAUCACAGAUGCACAGUGAUAAAAAGGGCAACAUAGCUCUCUGAAGCAAUUAGAUUUAUAUGUACUCUCUAUUUUGUAUCCCAUUAUAUGCCAUUGUUUUUGUCCUGAGACUGUGGAAGCAUUUUCCAUAAAAAACAACUGAAUGCUGUGAACAUGUGACAUUUGCAUCACUUAAAUGACCCUGACCAGCCUCUAUCCUGAGGCAUUAUGGAAAGAAAAAAAAAAAAAAACAAGACUCGUCUUUCAUAGAUUUGUGACAUGCAGCAUUGUUGAUUCAAAGAGCAGCUAACAUGCAUGACUUCCUGGUCACCAUGUACAGAAUACCAGCACAAAAAGCUCCCACAAGCCACCAACAGCUCAAGGCUAAUGCUAGCCUCUCACACAGCUGUUCCUGCUUUGUACGGGAGGGACAGAAGGGAUAAGGAACAACAAGUACAUUUCAAUCCUUGAUGGCCUAGUUUGGGGCCUUAUUUCUUUUUCUAAUUCAUCCCAUCAUACAGCUUAUACUGCCUUGCCAUUUUUCGUAGUUUGUGAGGCACUAAAGGCUCCUCCUGAUGGACUAACCCAAACCCAUAUCCCCAGCUUUACAAGCAGCUAUAAAAGGUGAUUUAACAGGAAUAAUCAAUGUGUCACUCAGAAAGCAGCUGCUGAGCCCAGGGGCAGGGCGACCGGAUGAAGACUGCAGGUGAAAGGCAGGAUAUAAUGACAUUUUCUACAGGCCCAAUCCUUCAAACCACAGCUUCCAAAAACCUAACCUCCAGUCUCAAUGCCAUCCCCCUGUAACCAACCCAUCCUAACUCAAUUUCACAGCCUACUGCUGCCCAAUGAUGCCUCAUAACACACCAGAGGCAGAGUACACAAACCAACGUUUCAUAUUCAUGCUCUGUAUCAACAGGGUGAGUGAUUUGUUAGCUGGAUGGAAAACAUACACUGUAGCUCUUAGUUACAGGGAUUCUGAGUAUAUGAUGCUGAUUACAUGGGGUCACUUUGAUCUUCAGGGGUGGAAAAUACUUGAAUAAAUGUACUUUGUUACUAUAAUUAAGUAUUAUUAUGAGGUAUUUAUACUUUAGUUAAGUGUUAAGUGUUAUUAAAAUUUAAAUUGAGUACUCUUACUUAGUUACUUAAUUUUAACUCUUUAUGUUUUUACUGAGACCUUCAAAGUACUCGUUAUAAAGUUCCCAGGUCUCCUUCUCUCAUCUAGCCAAUGACUUCUCACAUCUAGCCAAUGACUGCAUGCUAUAUGUCAAUAUAAUGGCCUCCUGUGCAUUUUAUUUACAUUUUAGUCUAAGGCAUCCAAUCAAGUUCAUCAAUGUACACUAAAACAUUAAAACAAUUAUCGUGCCAAUUCUUCCUCUGCUGUGACCUUCUCAUACUAUGCAAGGUAGCUAGGUGCUAUAGCUAUCCCUGUGUGACUGUGGUGUUGAGCUUGAAUUUGAGCACCCCUGGCCCUACCUCAGUAAAAUAUUUCAAUGUGCUGGAGUAAGCAAAGAUAAAAUGAGGUGUCUCCUUUGCCUCACUAGAAGGCAUGAACUCCAUCUAAUUUGAAAAAGCAUAUUGAGUUAUGUUUCACUAACUUCACUAGCGUGCCUUCUUUGCUAAUACCAGGUUAGCCUAUCAGUUCCAGUUGCUAACAUAAAAUGGCUAGGCAGCGAGUCAAAUUCUAGCUAAUGCUAAAUUCUGGUCAUUUACUGAAUAAUUCAUUAGCAAACUACGUAGCGUUACUCAUGCAUAUGACUAGCAAACCUACAGAGAUUGAACAAUGUUUUCAGGUAAAAUGACUAAAAUAAAACAGUUUUAUAUAACUAAUAAAAGUUAGACUUCACAGGAAAGCAUGACAUUACUUAAUUUCAUCAGUUAAAAACAUUUACUUGAAUACAUUUAAAAGUUGCAACUUUUUUAACUUUCACUUGGGUACAUUUUUGGCUGAAUAGUUCACUUUUAAUUAGUAAGUUUUUAACACACUAUCUGUAUUUUCACUUUAGUAUAAUUUGUCAGUACUUUAUACAACAUUAAUUAACAGAUCAGUCAAUUCACAGGUCCACAGAUCACAAGGGUUAUGGGUUCAUAAUAUCAUAUGCCAUAUUCACUGUAUGCCAUAUUCAUAUGACAUAAAGUGGGUGGCAGCUUAACACAGGAAAUAAAAAUUUCGAGUUUUCUACUCGGUCAAAGGUCAAAGCUCCUCAUGUCAAAGUGUAAUCUAUGAAUCCAUUCUGUUCUUUCAUGCAUUUAAAUGUGGAGCUGGUCUCUGGGCUGACCUUCAUUUAAACCAGUGGUUAAGCCUGAACCUCAUAACUCCCAUCCCAAAAUGUAAUGCCCAUGAGCAUAAGGAAAUGAAAGUGAAAAAUCCAUCAUCUCUUUCUCACACAAAUACACACACACACACACACACACACACACACACACACACACUGGUUAGUCAUCACCUCGGCGCCGCCCCAUAUCUCACAUUUCCGAGGCGUAUAAAGCGACGUGUGAUGAGCUACUGCCUGCUAUAGAAAGCUAAUCCAUGCAAAAAAAUAAAUUUAGGUGGGUAAUUGAACUCAAGCAGAAGAAUUACAAGAGGAAAAGCACUCAGGCACCUCCUAUGUGAAUCUUCUAACCUUGAUGUAAUAAUGAGCCCUGCUUCUCCUAACAUCCUGCUUCCUGGAGCACUCUAAUAUUCAUGGAGUCGGGGAGCAAGCCUCCCCACAGGCAUUUAUGUUGCCUCAUCAGAAGUAGAGCAGAGGUUGGAUUGGAAAUGCGACUCAGUUAAAUCUAUACUACUGUGUAGCUGCAAAUGAGCUGAGUAGUGCUGCUACUCGAAACAAAAUCUGAAAUGCUGCCAGUUUCCUCAUAUGGGAAACUGCAAAGGGGUCAUCAUAGAUCAAUGUCUGUUUAUUACGCAGUCUCAUUUUAUUAUAUUUUUGUUAUGUUACAUUGAUUUUAGUAUGAUAUUUCUAUAGACCUUAGUAUGACUCCAGAUGGUAUCAUGGCAGUCCCUUAUUUUUUGGUAGUACUAGGAGGUCAUUAUUGAGUUGUAACUCUGUGCCAUGUAUUUCCUCCUCCAUGUUGCUGUUCUUCCAUGUGGAUGGGAUUACAUCCCCGAUAUAAGAGCUCUAACAGAGAACUGAGUUCUUCUGGACUGCUACAGCGUCCAUUGCAAUGAAUGGAGAACAAGCAAGGCUUCUGACGGAGCACAGACAGGUGAGGGACUAGUGAGGGACUCUACAGACCACUGGGUACACUGAUCAGACAGCACAGGCCGGUAAACACACACAUACACACUCAAAUCCACAGCUGGCUAUGGGAGAUCCAGAACAGCGCUCACUGCACCUGACUGAUAAACUCACACAAACAGACUCAGUGUCUAUGGGGAAAGGGGUCAUUCUUUCCCAGCGGUCAUGCAGCAGAGAUGUGGGCCAACAGAGAAGCCUUCUCCUUUAUGAGCCUGUCGCCAUGCCCCUGCCAAGCUGUCUCUCCUGCACAGACACCCAGACAAAACAAGAGGAGGAAGCAUCAAAAGGCAAUGACAUGCAUUCUGGCACGAGCUCCACGAGGAAAUGUCAGCACUGGCUUUGGGCCUCCAGGUGAUUUCAGCACACAAGGCUGCUGGUUAACCCUGACAACAGCCCAGUGCCCGUAAGCAUGUAGUUGCCCGCCUAAGGAUUUCACAGCCUGGGCAGUAUUUUGAAUGAGACUCCAAGGUCGGAGGCUCAAACACCGAAAAUGUUAUUGGAGCAUUUGAAGGAAGGUGAGUUUGCACUCUGACCCACACACAACCAGGAAAGUGCCAGUGCCAAAGAAAGUAGUACCUUCAUCUCAUUCAUCUGCAGCAACUGCUUUAUCCUGGUCAGGGUCGCAUAAGCUCCAGGGCCUCUCCCGGGAACAGUGGUGGAGGCAGUAAUACACUCUGGAUGGGAUGCCAAAUUACACACAUGGGGCAAUUUAGAGUAGUCAGUUCACCUAUGUCUAUGUUUUGUGAGGUAGGAGGAAACUGGAGAGCCUGGACACAGGAAGAACAUGCUGGUAUAUGGUAGUACACCAUUCCCUACAAACCCUAUAUGGUAGAUUUUAUGGAAUUCAGGCAAGAGUCACACUGAUGAUAGCUAAUAUUAGAAAAAAUUAAUGACCUAAUAUUUUCUUGGUCAAACAUUUAAGGACACCUUGCCAUUUUGCGAAAUGUAUUGUUUGAUUUUCAAUAACAUUUACACCCUAAAGCUGUGCAAGAGUAAAAAAAAUAGAAGUAUUGUCUGUAAUAAUCUGGCCUGUCUAGUCACCCCAUCUUGACCCAAUUGAGUUCUGGGAGGAGUUCAAUCAAAAGGUUUGAAAAUGUUGUCUAAACAGCUCGAUAAACCUCCAGAAAGAUCUACAAUCUGCAUGGAAUAGCAUCUGUGAAGAAUGUUAGGAAAAACUGACUGUUCAUAUGAAGGAGUGGUGUGGCAAUUAUAGCUGCAAGUGCAGGCGGUGACAAAUAAAUAAGUUAAUUGUUUUAGCAUUUUUGUCACAAAUAUUAUGUGUUAUUACUUCCUAAUGAAAAAUCCGGUUAAUAUUUCAUUUAUUAAGUUACCAAAAACACACAAAGUAAAAGCUUCUAUAAAGCUAUGACAUAGUCAAUAUGUUUAUGGGUGUUUUUUUUUUCAUUUAGCUUUUAGCCAAAGAGUUAAUUAAAUGAGACAGGAUACACCCCAGGGUAAACCCAGCAUUCUCACCAGUAGCAAUCUUUUCACCUUGCAUGACGCAACGUAUGUCACUAGCGGGUGUUCGUAUCUGUAGUUACUGCUAGUUGCCAUGGUUUCUCUACUUGUCACUGGCUAGUGAAUGCAUAUCUAGACACAGAAUGUAUGCAAAAUCACCAAUUUAACUACAAAGUAGAUUGCUUCCUGCAAAAAUUAAAAACUGUCGA
This is a long non-coding RNA of Pangasianodon hypophthalmus (striped catfish), 22047 nucleotides long. RefSeq lists it as uncharacterized. The transcript has 2 exons. NCBI's taxonomy places the organism in Eukaryota, Metazoa, Chordata, Actinopteri, Siluriformes, Pangasiidae. The record is from RefSeq and is a predicted model, not a curated record.